CUCUGGCAGGAGAUUACAGUUUAUCUGGGAGGUAUGUAUUCAGUUAACAAGCCUAUUCUAAAACUCCUUUUCAGAAAGUUUGCUUACAUCAAAAUUACUGAGAUAACAUAUGCUCCUGUUUCAAGUAAGAUGGAGUAAAUGCAUCCCACUCUAUCUUUCCUACUUAUUGCAACUAUAAAAUGUGCACAGAAUGCAUUAUGCAGCCAUUUGACAACAGUGAAAAGCAAACAAUAGUUGGCAGACUCAGGAAGAAGAUGAGUAUUUGAAGUACUGCCAUAUCAUAGUCCUCAGGCAAUCCUGAAACAAUGGGGCUCACAGGACUAAAUCUCUGAGAAAAGAUAAACUCUUCGGAAUAGAGGAGCAGUGGUCCCAAGAGGACUAAGUAGCAGUGAAAAGGAAGAAAAAAAGAAGACAGUGCCUACUUUCUGAGACAUUUCCAAAUAUCAGUGUGAAAAAGACUACCAGAGGUCAGCAGAACAGAAGAGUUUCUUCCUGCUGAAGGAUUCAUUAUAGAAGAGAAUAAAUGAUUAUCAAGAGGACUGAAAGCAAACUGUCUAUUCUACUGGUUGCCGAGUAUCAAAUAUCAUGGAUGGUCUGGCUUUUGGGAAGCAUCAACAAGACUGCCCUCAACUGUGGGAUUACAUACAUAGCACUGGUGGUCAAAAAUAAAGAAGUUUUCACUGCCAGCUCCAGCACAAAAUCCAAGCUCUUCAAAUGCAGAAAGCAUGUUGUAUUCAUCUCUGCAUUUUUAGAAUCCAGAAUUUUCACAAGGUAUGUGUCUAAUAAAAUUACUGAAUGAAUGAGUUGAGAGGGUGUGGAGUUUAUGGCUGUGGUUAGGUUUUCAUUGCAUUGUUUACAAGGUAUACAUAAUCAUAAUCAAAAUAAUUGCAUGUAUCCUUCAUUAAUAAGUUACUAAUAAAGACAUAAUAUCUAAAUACUUUGCGUGUACCACCUCAUUUAAUUCUUCCAAUAUUUUCUGCAUUUUAUAGUAUUUCUUCACUUUUCCCUUCUCUCCUGCUAUUGCUUUUUUAGAUAGAGGAAAUAAGAGUUAAAGAUAGGAAGUAAAUGAAAGUUAAAGAGGUCAAGUAAUAUUUCCCAGUUACUUACCCAACUAGUGUCAGAAUCAUCAGUAUUUUACUGUUUAUAAUGUAGCUUUUCUGAAUGUUUUAUAGUCGCUUACAGAAAUGUAUACAGGAAGCAGUGUAUAAUUUUGGCAACUUCAUUGUUGAACAUCAUCUGCAGGUAUUGAUCUGACAGUGUAUGUCAGGAUCAGGUGGGUUUACUCUGCCCUGACUUGGGGCUGCUAGAUAUCCAAGUACUACAAAUUGCUUGUUGUGCUAUUGCUACACCUCACAUUUAUUAUUCUGUAUUUCGUACAGAAAUGCACAUUUUAUGGAAGCAUUUUUUCUCCUGCUCUGUUAGCUUCUUCCUAGGAAAUGCUACUAAACUUGUGUCACGUACCCUGUCUUGCAG
This 1473-nucleotide long non-coding RNA is filed under the name Homo sapiens (human). Its description in RNAcentral is "HSALNT0173042". The record is from RNAcentral. Lineage: Eukaryota; Metazoa; Chordata; Mammalia; Primates; Hominidae.